GAUGAAGAACGUAGCGAAAUGCGAUAAGUAAUGUGAAUUGCAGAUUUCAGUGAAUCAUCGAAUCUUUGAACGCACCUUGCGCCUUGUGGUAUUCCACAAGGCAUGCCCGUUUGAGUAUCAUUAAAUCAUCAACUCUAAAACCUUUGUGGUUUUUUUUAGAGCUUGGUCUUGAGGGUUUUGCAGGCUUUUUUUUUUUUUCGUGUCUGCUCCCUUUAAAUGCAUUAGCGAGACUUCCCUAUGCUGCACCGUCUCUUUGACGUGAUAAUUAUCUGCGUCGAAUUUUGGUUCUCGUUGGGCUUGCUUCUAAUCGUCUGUUAAAGACAAAACGGAUUUGGGUGCAUAUAUGCGCCUUUUUCCAAAACCUUUUUUUGAUCUCAAAUCGGGUAGGACUACCCGCUGAACUUAAGCAUAUCAAUAAGCGGAGGA
This 426-nucleotide unclassified non-coding RNA is filed under the name soil metagenome. RNAcentral describes it as "partial contains 5.8S ribosomal RNA, internal transcribed spacer 2, and large subunit ribosomal RNA". The stretch from base 1 to 120 matches the Rfam family "5.8S ribosomal RNA", at positions 35 to 154 of the family's 154-position model. The record is from RNAcentral.